RNAcentral lists this ribosomal RNA (429 nucleotides) under Pseudomonadota bacterium. Its description in RNAcentral is "Proteobacteria bacterium partial 16S ribosomal RNA". It matches the Rfam family "Bacterial small subunit ribosomal RNA", at positions 355 to 776 of the family's 1533-position model. Lineage: Bacteria; Pseudomonadati; Pseudomonadota. The record is from RNAcentral.
UGGGGAAUAUUGGACAAUGGGCGAAAGCCUGAUCCAGCCAUGCCGCGUGUGUGAAGAAGGUCUUCGGAUUGUAAAGCACUUUAAGUUGGGAGGAAGGGCAGUAAGCGAAUACCUUGCUGUUUUGACGUUACCGACAGAAUAAGCACCGGCUAACUCUGUGCCAGCAGCCGCGGUAAUACAGAGGGUGCAAGCGUUAAUCGGAAUUACUGGGCGUAAAGCGCGCGUAGGUGGUUCGUUAAGUUGAAUGUGAAAGCCCCGGGCUCAACCUGGGAACUGCAUCCAAAACUGGCGAGCUAGAGUAGGGCAGAGGGUGGUGGAAUUUCCUGGGUAGCGGUGAAAUGCGUAGAUAUAGGAAGGAACACCAGUGGAGAAGGCGACCACCUGGGCUCAUACUGACACUGAGGUGCGAAAGCGUGGGGAGCAAACAGG